Molecule: ribosomal RNA, 420 nt
Filed under: uncultured soil bacterium S0125
Lineage: Bacteria
Description: bacterial SSU rRNA
Rfam family: Bacterial small subunit ribosomal RNA
Source: RNAcentral
GACUCNUACGGGAGGCAGCAGUGGGGAAUAUUGGACAAUGGGGGAAACCCUGAUCCAGCGAUGCCGCGUGUGUGAAGAAGGCCUGCGGGUUGUAAAGCACUNUCAGUGGGGACGAUGGGCAGAACGGCGAAUACCCGUUUUGUUUGACUUAACCCAAAGAAGAAGCACCGGCUAAUUCCGUGCCAGCAGCCGCGGUAAUACGGAAGGUGCGAGCGUUAAUCGGAAUUACUGGGCGUAAAGCGCACGUAGGUGGUUUUAUAAGUCGGAUGUGAAAGCCCCGGGCUUAACCUGGGAAUUGCAUCUGAUACUGUCUGACUAGAGUAUGCUAGAGGGGAGUGGAAUUCCAGGUGUAGCGGUGAAAUGCGUAGAUAUCUGGAGGAACACCAAUGGCGAAGGCAACUUUCCUGGGGCAAUACUGAC